UGCUGCAGUUUAAUUACCCAGCCGAAAGCCUCUGCUCCUGUAUUUGUUUCUACUCUAGCUUGCUUCAUCUCUCCCCCAUAUUUCUGACAUUUGGAUUUUCCCCUACUAAUUGGCAUGCCUGUCCCCUCCUUCUCCUGGUGUCCAUUUCUGGAACUGCUAUUUGUGUAUUGCAUGAUAUUUUAUCAGGGAAAAAAUAAAACUGAGAUCCAAUUUCAUGAAAAUGCUGUUGCCGUAUGCCCAGGAGGACAGGGGGAGGAGAAAGUCAAGUCUUCCUCCGUCUACCUCAUGCGCAGCUCACCUCUCCAUCUACUCCUCAAAAAGGCAAAGCAUCCCAUCGGAAGACAACAGAGCCUGGCACAUUCAGUUGAGGUCCUUUGCACUGGCGCUUGAGCUGAAAGGGAGAUUUGAGAGGUGUCCUUAUCUGAUGCUGACAUUGUGUAUCUUCCAUUGCUCAUCAUUGAUGGAGGUCUGCCUCUUGCUUCAUAGGAUGAUGACUCCAUGUCUGUCUUAAAGAAGAUUCUGAAUGACGUGUUAGUAAAGAAGAUUAUCAAGCUAUCAAAUAGUGAAAGAUUCUUGAAGAUUAGAAGCAGACAUUUGCAAAGCACAUGAAGCAGAUGAGUCUCUGCUGCAUGGGAUGGAGCGGGAAGAAGCGAAUGGAAGUAGAGGGAGAUACCAGUGUUUGAAAGGAGGAAAAUUUCAGAGUGGAGUCUUUCAAAAGACAGCCUGACUAUAACCUAGAUUUACUUGGAACCUGAAGGUAAUACAGGUUGAGAUGUCCUUUACUAUAAGCAAUAUAAUAGCAAGAACAAUAACUCCAAGCUAAGAAUGUACAAUUAGGUAGAAAACCAAACAAUUUUUCAGGAUAAAAAUAUAUGUCUGGACAAAGUACUAAUUUUAGAAAGAUUGCCAGUGCCCAAGACUGAGCACAGAAACUCUUCUGUACAGGAUUUUUACAGCAUGCUCACCAUAUGCCUAAAAGGACAGGACCUCUCCUCCAACAAGUUCUUACUGGAAACAAUGUCGUCUACUGGCAAUGGUACUCAUCCGACUUCUGAAGGACCUCCCCUAGAACAGCUUCCUGCUCUGUGCUGUUUAAAGUGGGCCUUUCCUUGAGGCUGUGUGAACUGAAUGUCUGGCAUCAGAAGCCAUGGGACACACUGAUGUCAUAAAAUGAGCAUUGGGGCUCUGCUUCCUGUCAGGGGGAUUCCUAGAAGCCAUUUGCUCCUACCCAGAAGGGCCAGCACUCGGAAACAAUUGCCAACCACAAAAACAGCCCCCACUUAAAACAAAUUAAACAUACUCCCAUCUUGACUUCUCUUUAGCUACAGUUCGUCAUUUUGUGGACACCCCACUCAAGCAGAAGAAACAUGUAGGGGAAGUUGGAACUGAAAAUGAAAACAGUCUUAAGCAACCAUAGCUAAAUAUAUCUCAUUUGUAAUAGAUUUUACAAGGGCAUACAACCGCGGGAACACAUUGCAAGGGUCCCUCCCUUCUCUUGCAAGAAACCUGUGCAGCUAAGGGGUGGGGGUGGAAGUCACAGUUCAAGCUUAUUUGUUGAUCAGCUGCAGGGUAGGGCCUUCUCGGGGCUCUGAUUGUAACUGAGAUGCCAAUCUGUAAACAGUGGUAACAGUGAAUGACUUAAAGCAACCGGGUGUCCGUGGACUAGAAAGGAUAUAUUUAAUGGCCAUCAGCAAGUAAAAGCAGGCUGUGUGAACUGAAUGUCUGGCAUCAGAAGCCGUGGGACACACUGAUGUCAUGAUUCUGAGACAACUAGGAAUGAACAGUGAUGGAGAAAUGAAAGGAGCAUGGUGCCAUCUAAAACGGCAGGUACCAUUCAGCUUUAACAAACGCACUCCUAUUCAAUUCCGGUGUGGGGUGCAGAAAUGGCCAUCACACAGAUGGAGGCCUGGAAAUUAAUGUCUUGGUUCUGUUAAUCCCCACACUCCAGUUCCACGUGCCAAGCUCACUCCUAGGCACUUGUUUCUCCAGUUCAUAAGAGGGUCUGGGAUCUUUCUCUUUGUUCUUCUGCAUGAGACCACUUGUUAAGAUGCCUUUAAACUCCUUGGCUCCCAGGACAAGCCCAUCUAUUGGCUGUUUUUAAUCCAAGACAUACUUUUUCUACAACCUAGUCAAAGUGCAGUCUCACAGGGAGGUGAAAAAACAGAAGUGUGUUUUAGCUUUGUUUGGGGCAUGCUGAGUGUAUUUUGUGCUUUAAAUUUUGAAAAUAUACCCUCUGGGGCUUGAUUUCCCAGUCUAGACUCUAAUCGGUGGAAAUACAGCAGAAUACAGACAGAAAAAAAAUAAAAAGAAAAGAAAACUUGUCACCCAGUCCCAGUCAUGACCCUAGAACGGUGGAGGAAAGCGCCUACAGUAGUAUCGAAGGGUCCAGAAAACAUGAAAGCCAAUGUUAAGGAAACCCCACCGAAGGGCUGAGAUCAGUUACGGAGCCUGCUCUCCCACAGGUACUUAAUCUUUGCUCAAACUUCACAGCAAACAUGCUCCUUUCUCAGGAUGUCUUGCUGCUUCUCAAAUAAUCCCAAAAGGAGACACGCUGGACAUCCCGUAAUGAAUAAAACUGCUGAUGGGGAUGGAUUUGUAAACCCAAAAUACCAUAUGUGGAGUCAGAACACUUUAUUUAUACCUUGGCCCGAUGCUUCGCCCACGCACACAGGAUUACGGAAGAAAUAUAUGGCUGCCUGCUGGCCUAGAACUCUCUCAGGCCUUCCCCAGCAGCCUUGGUGAGAGCAGCAACCCUGGGCCAAGCAACCAUCUGUAGCACAACAGGCCUUUCCAAGCCGAAAAGAAAGUAAUAGAGAUUAGAAUUGCAAUGGUAAACAUACCCCUGCAUAUUUUGUUUCUGUAUGUGUGUACAAGUAGGAACAAACCUAAGCAGACUCUUCUGGCAUAAGAUUAUAGGUUAAAAAAUAAAUCCACCAACGUAUUACAUAAUAACAAGAUAAGAAUAAUUAAGAACAAUAUAUUUCCUUUUAUAAACUUUGAUGGAUAACCUUUAAGAUGUUUUAAGGGUUAUGUUCAGGCCACACACAGGAUGGGCAAUAUUUUUUCUUCAUUUUCUUUUACAGAAAAAGAGCUAAUUUUGCUUAAAAUAGAAAGAAGGCUAUGGGCCUUGCAUUUAUCAAAGAAACAAGCAUGGUUUAUCAUGUGAAAUUAUCUUUAUUUCAAAGAAAAUUAGAACCAAAGCCAAACCUACAGAGGGAUAUAUACAAACGAUAGUAACAUCUGUAGAUAAGGAGGGGCUCAGUGGGUCCUUAGUAGAAACUAAAUCUUGUUUUUAGGCUUCUGUCACUCCAGAGCUUGAGUGGAAGCAGCCUUAACAAGGGUAGUAAACUUUACAGACACAAUUCAACCCAGAUGCAUUUUCACCCUGUUCCUAGUCAGGAUUCUAUAUGCAACUUAGACCUCAACAUACAUUCAUUCUUUAUACUCCCUUUGCCACUCGUGACUAGCCUCUAGAAGCAGAAAGGAGGGCUUCUUCCCUUAGAAUCCCCCCAAAUAAGGCAGGGACAGAAGGAAUGGAAAGAGACCUACACUCAGAACCUCUGUUACCAUGUGGCACUUUCCCUAAGGUGAAGCAGGUCCAGAAUAAGAAAGAUGUGGGAGGAGACUCUUGCUACCAAGCGAUAGGUAAAAUCACAGCUAUGAUUCAGCAUGGUCUUUAACCUUCAGCACAUACCUAUGAGGUUGAUUCUGAGCUAUACCAUCAGUAGGAAGUGAGCAGAGGCUGGGAAGCCUAAAGAAAUCCAUCUGCACUGCCUUGUAUCGUGGAGAAGCUUGUAGGAGGGGUUUCCCAAGCAUAACUAUGUACCCCUUAACGACAGGAUUAUGUUCUAAGAAAUGUAUUAUUUAGGUAUUUCACUAUAUGCAAACAUCAUUCAGUGUACUUCCCCAAACCCAGAUGACUUCACUGUCUUUAAGCAUUAUAAUCUCAUGGUACCACUGUCAUUAGUUUUACUGUUAUUAACCGAAACUUUCAUAUGAAUACAUUGUUGUAAUAUUGUUAUUGGUUAAAAACACUCUAAUAAAUCAGUGGUUCUCAA
Long non-coding RNA from Mesocricetus auratus (golden hamster), 4058 nucleotides. RefSeq lists it as uncharacterized. Lineage: Eukaryota; Metazoa; Chordata; Mammalia; Rodentia; Cricetidae. The record is from RefSeq and is a predicted model, not a curated record. The transcript has 4 exons.